GGAAAAGAUGACUUUGCUUUUCAGUUUCCUGUGUUAUCUACACAUAUGAAACGCUUGUUUAGAACGAACAAAGUAGCAGUGUCAUGCUCAGUUGAAAGAAUUUUACUGUUUCUUUACUUGGAAAUGGAAAAUUUUCAUAUCAGCAGCCUAAAAAGCAUCCAAAUACUAAAAAACAUCUUAAGUCAGCGUGUUUCUCAACAAAUAAAUUCAAAAACUUACAGCAAUAUUUUCUUUGAAACCAAACUGAGCAUUUAUCCAAAUUAUAGAAAAAAACAUAAGAAAAAAUACACAAAGCCAGAGCUUUUUACUGAAAACUUAAAGCAAGGUCGAGCGGAUUUGUUUCUUCUCUUUUGAAGAAAAUUCAAAAAGCCGUCCAAUCAAAUAAUGAAACAGAGGCAGGGAAUUACCAGAGAAAACACACUGGUUCCGCCUGUGAAUUACUGUUUCAAAAUCAGCAGUGAAUCCAAAUUCAAAAGUGGGUCAUAAAAUUCCUUGAGAACCCAAGAAAACCCCCGAGGAAAUUCCCAAGCUUUGUGACCGAGUUAUCCUAAAUCCUAAUCCAUGGAAAGUAGGGGAAGAGGUCUCUGGAAAGGUUGCGGUGCAAAGGCGAGCAAUGAAACUUGAAAUUAAAGCAAUUGUCCUGAAGGAUUUUUU
RNAcentral lists this unclassified non-coding RNA (654 nucleotides) under Hevea brasiliensis (rubber tree). Lineage: Eukaryota; Viridiplantae; Streptophyta; Magnoliopsida; Malpighiales; Euphorbiaceae. The record is from RNAcentral.